This 274-nucleotide ribosomal RNA is filed under the name Acinetobacter haemolyticus. RNAcentral's name for it is "partial 16S ribosomal RNA". It matches the Rfam family "Bacterial small subunit ribosomal RNA", at positions 434 to 709 of the family's 1533-position model. Lineage: Bacteria; Pseudomonadati; Pseudomonadota; Gammaproteobacteria; Moraxellales; Moraxellaceae. The record is from RNAcentral.
UUUAAGCGAGGAGGAGGCUACUCUAGUUAAUACCUAGAGAUAGUGGACGUUACUCGCAGAAUAAGCACCGGCUAACUCUGUGCCAGCAGCCGCGGUAAUACAGAGGGUGCGAGCGUUAAUCGGAUUUACUGGGCGUAAAGCGUGCGUAGGCGGCUGAUUAAGUCGGAUGUGAAAUCCCUGAGCUUAACUUAGGAAUUGCAUUCGAUACUGGUCAGCUAGAGUAUGGGAGAGGAUGGUAGAAUAAGGGCGAAUUCGUUUAAACCUGCAGGACUAG